Molecule: transfer RNA, 75 nt
Filed under: Candidatus Omnitrophica bacterium 4484_70.1
Lineage: Bacteria; Pseudomonadati; Candidatus Omnitrophota
Description: tRNA-Gln
Rfam family: tRNA
About the family: Transfer RNA (tRNA) molecules are approximately 80 nucleotides in length. Their secondary structure includes four short double-helical elements and three loops (D, anti-codon, and T loops).
Source: RNAcentral
UGCCCGGUGGUGUAAUUGGUAACACACAAGACUCUGGAUCUUGGUUUCCUGGUUCGAAUCCAGGCCGGGCAGCCA